AAGUGCUAGGCGCUCUCCGACACUUGCCAAACGAAGGAGAAAACGAGAUAAGCGAGGACGGCAACCGCGACAGCUACCAACAUUGUCUUUCGGUUUUCCGCUCGUAGCGUCGCGAGUCUUCUCUCUGGAAAAGAAAUCAGUCACAACACUUGUACGUCACUAAUAGUUGACCAUUGAUUGGCAUCUCCGAAUGAUAGGGAGCCGGAGGUAAAUGUAUGAUUCUACUAUCUAUGAAGGUGGAUAUACGCAGAGAGGAGGUUGUUUGUGUCACUGGAGGCCAUACUAGAGACCACAAACUUUGAUAGUCUUAGGGAUUUAGUCUAAACUGUUAGAAUGUCUCAUCUGUUUUCUACCUUGUUUUGUUUAUUAGAUGGAUUCUGUUGCUGUAUGGGAUAUUGUUAGGAAACGCUAAACUAGUCCAACAUUGACUAAUCUAGGGUUUAGCUGGUACUGUAGUAGAAAGGCUCACUUCAAAAUAAAGGCAUAGUCAAACAA
This is a long non-coding RNA of Corticium candelabrum, 495 nucleotides long. RefSeq lists it as uncharacterized. Lineage: Eukaryota; Metazoa; Porifera; Homoscleromorpha; Homosclerophorida; Plakinidae. The record is from RefSeq and is a predicted model, not a curated record. The transcript has 2 exons.